UACCCCCAGGGGAAGUCGAAUCCCC
Molecule: transfer RNA, 25 nt
Filed under: Turnera sidoides subsp. integrifolia
Lineage: Eukaryota; Viridiplantae; Streptophyta; Magnoliopsida; Malpighiales; Passifloraceae
Description: partial tRNA-Glu
Source: RNAcentral